RNAcentral lists this ribosomal RNA (592 nucleotides) under uncultured Bacteroidota bacterium. RNAcentral describes it as "bacterial SSU rRNA". It matches the Rfam family "Bacterial small subunit ribosomal RNA", at positions 124 to 715 of the family's 1533-position model. The record is from RNAcentral. Lineage: Bacteria; Pseudomonadati; Bacteroidota.
ACCUGCCGCUUACUCGGGGAUGGCCUUUCGAAAGAAAGAUUAAUACCCGAUGGUAUAAAGAGUUCGCAUGUUCUCUUUAUUAAAGAAUUUCGGUAAGCGAUGGGGAUGCGUUCCAUUAGAUUGUUGGNGGGGUAACGGCCCACCAAGUCUACGAUGGAUAGGGGUUCUGAGAGGAAGGUCCCCCACAUUGGAACUGAGACACGGUCCAAACUCCUACGGGAGGCAGCAGUGAGGAAUAUUGGUCAAUGGGCGAGAGCCUGAACCAGCCAAGUAGCGUGAAGGAUGACUGCCCUAUGGGUUGUAAACUUCUUUUAUAAGGGAAUAAAGUGAGGGACGUGUCCCUUUUUGUAUGUACCUUAUGAAUAAGGAUCGGCUAACUCCGUGCCAGCAGCCGCGGUAAUACGGAGGAUCCAAGCGUUAUCCGGAUUUAUUGGGUUUAAAGGGAGCGUAGGUUGACAUAUAAGUCAGCUGUGAAAGUUUACGGCUCAACCGUGAAAUUGCAGUUGAUACUGUAUGUCUUGAGUGUACAAGAGGUGGGCGGAAUUCGUGGUGUAGCGGUGAAAUGCUUAGAUAUCACGAAGAACUCCGAUUG